Molecule: small nucleolar RNA, 103 nt
Organism: Brassica oleracea var. oleracea
Lineage: Eukaryota; Viridiplantae; Streptophyta; Magnoliopsida; Brassicales; Brassicaceae
Rfam family: Small nucleolar RNA Z157/R69/R10
About the family: Z157, R69 and R10 are members of the C/D class of snoRNA which contain the C (UGAUGA) and D (CUGA) box motifs. Most of the members of the box C/D family function in directing site-specific 2'-O-methylation of substrate RNAs.
Source: Rfam
GAGGAUAUGGUGAUGAAACGAAUAAUUUCGUGGACUAGAGUUUCAGAUCUGGGCUCUUCACCCAGAAGUUGAAGAUACAACCCUUGGCUGUCUGAGUAUCUCU